GCCUUGAGUGCGAUUUUCAUGAGCAUAACUGAUAAUGUCCUUCGCGAGAUUGCUGGGACAAGCUCAGCGUCUGCUGUAUGAAAGAAAUUAGAGGAGUUGUACUCUAUUAAAUCGCUGACCAACCGUCGUAUCCGAAGAAAAGGCUUUACAAUCUGAGAAUGAGCGAAGGUACACCCAUUAAAGAACAUCUGGAUGAAGUUAAUUCAAUCAUUAAGGACCUAAAGAAUAUUGAUAUUGAUAGUGAGGAU
RNAcentral lists this unclassified non-coding RNA (248 nucleotides) under Hevea brasiliensis (rubber tree). The record is from RNAcentral. Lineage: Eukaryota; Viridiplantae; Streptophyta; Magnoliopsida; Malpighiales; Euphorbiaceae.